This is a non-coding RNA of Vicia faba (fava bean), 273 nucleotides long. Lineage: Eukaryota; Viridiplantae; Streptophyta; Magnoliopsida; Fabales; Fabaceae. The record is from the annotation of a GenBank genome assembly.
AUGCUUCUACUACACCAAAUGAAUGUUGAAUCUGGUGAUGGACUACCAUUUGGAGCAGUCAUUGUUCAAAAUGAUGAAGUUGUUGUUAGUUGUCAUAACAUGUUUUUAAGAAAAGAUAUCAUGUUUCUCAUGCUGAGUUUUAUCGCUGAUGCACAGAAGGACACUAGUUCUCAUCAGAAGUCUCAGUUGGAGAUUAAAAAGAUAGAAGGUACUACAACUGCAAUUGCAGAACAAGUAUUUGCAAACACAAAGGGCAAGUAUGUUCUUUACUGA